Molecule: transfer RNA, 71 nt
Filed under: Marmota marmota marmota (Alpine marmot)
Lineage: Eukaryota; Metazoa; Chordata; Mammalia; Rodentia; Sciuridae
Also listed under: 4 other names
Rfam family: tRNA
About the family: Transfer RNA (tRNA) molecules are approximately 80 nucleotides in length. Their secondary structure includes four short double-helical elements and three loops (D, anti-codon, and T loops).
Source: Rfam by way of RNAcentral
GGGGGUGUGGCUCAGUGGUGGAGGGCUUGCUCAACAUGCAAAGGCCCUGGGUUCCACCCCCAGCACACCUA